UACAUUCGGAUGUAUAUAGACGUAUUUUAGAGUGUAGUUUCACUCAUUUUGCUUUGUAUGUAGUCCACAUUAGAAUAUCUAAAAGGGCUUAUAUUUAGGAACGGAGGGAGUAGCUAGGAACAAACUGAAUUUCGUAUGUCCGCCACACGGUUAUGGGCAAUGAGCCUGUUAUUGCAGUCUCAGCACACCACAUCUUGUUCUGCUCCCCGGUGCAGAUGGGCAUCCUUAGAUUCACCACCUCCCUGAUGAGCUGCUUCUUGUCUUAACCCACCUCCCUGAUGAGCUGCUUGUUGGUCUCAGGCAUACACGGUCAUCGUUGGUAUCUAAGUUGCCACCUGACAAAUCUGUUCUUAUUUCUUAUUAGGUACCUGAAAGGCUGAACCUGAUCUUUGAUGAACUAGAAGGCCAAGAUACCAAGGACUCGAGUGGGCGACUCCAAGAAUGGCGAUGAACAGGGCAGGGCGUGUGGUAUUGCAGUUAACUAUGUGUCAUCUGGUCAUCAUAGUGAUUGGUAGAUUAAAACCGUUAGCCACCUCUGAAUUCAUAUCGAAGUCAUGCGAGCUGGUCUUUUUCUGCUUGGAUCUCCAGGGGCCUGAUCAAUUGAACAAGUAUAUUGGGGAGAGCGAAUCAGAAGUAAGGAAAAUAUGAACCCGUGCAAGCACUAACUCACCAUACAUCCUAUUUUUUUGAGGUAAAACUAAGUAGUUGUGGCCGCUUUGGAUGAGAGAACCCAAUUCCUGGUAAAUUGGACACCAUCAAUGAGUUCGUCGAGUUUGAUUGAACUCUCACACUUUGAACAUGCUCUAUUUAAAGCAAGGCCAUCCCUGUCAUAACAGGUACAGUAAAAUGCCAACACAUAUAUGAUUGAUGUUAUGGCACUAUACUUGAGUUUGGGGAUGACGAGAUCGACGGAAGCAACAGGAGCCAACGACUCAUGAAUUCAGCGGCAUCUGCACGCCCUACAUGCUGUUCCCGCCGAUGCUGCUGUUCAUGCCGUCCCCCCAGUGCCUAGCAUCACCGGCAAGAAGUUCAGCGCUAUCCGACAAGGUGUCCUGCAGGGACAACCUCCGUCGACCUGUCAUCGAACUUCACUUGUGUGUCUUGUGUCGGGCGAGGGAGAGGGACGAUGUGCAUACGGGGUUGUAGUGCAGAGGCGCCGGUGGUUUCAAGUUGCAGGGCCGGGAGAAAUUUCACGGCAACCAGGAGUAACAAUAUUUUUGGUUACUUGGGAAUACGAUGAUGUUCUGGUGACGUGGAACAUGCUGAGAUUUGGACUUCAAUCCUUGAUUGUGCACGCGUAUGCAUGCUUCACACCCAUGCUGCAAAUAGAUUUUCAUUUUCGAAGAAAGUAAUAAUACUAUAACUACAAAAUUCAUGUUGCAGAUUUAUGCUCCAUGUAGUAUACUAGCCCAUUAUAGCUUUAUUCAGUUCACCAUUUGCACAUCAUGUUCUGGAGUUUGAAAUGCACUCCCUUUUUCUGUAGGGAUUUCCGAAACGAGUAGUAGACUAAUAACUUCUACAACAUCAAAGAUCUCUGAGAUUUUAGAGUAUGCACCAUAUUGAUUUACUUAUCGAUUUAUUCACACGUAUAUUGAGUUCAUGAUGGAAAUAUAUACGAGUAUUUUCAUUGUAUGGAAUUUUUUAAUUACUACCAGAUGGAAUUUGGGAAUUAGUCUUACAAAGCUUCCAAAAUCACUAAAGUUAUACAGCUACUACAGAACUGGUUAAAAUUAGUGAUGUUCUAUAAUAUCUACAUGACUGAUUACAACACUGCUCAUGUGAUUUGGUACUUUACUAUAUGGUAGCUUGUUUUACCCCUGAGGCGAGCUAAUGAUUGGGAACUUAUAGUGCCAAACUGACCUGCAUAUUCUGUCAAACAUUUUGUUGCAGUAUUUAGGAUCAGCAUGGAAGCUGAAUUUGUCACCUGAUGUUGUUUAAUUGUGUGCUACUAAAUUCAUUGGUUGCCUAGCCUUAAAACUAUCUGUAAUAGCAUACCUUGUUUUCAACAUCAUUGGCUUGUUUAGAAUGCUAAACUGAAGAACUGAAGUACUGAACAAAACAAUACAGAAGUCAGUAAAAAGUGUUUAAGAGGAAUUUUUGGUCUGCAGUCUGUACUAAUAAAAUCUUGUGGUCAUUCGUUUUGACCUGAUUCAAGGCAAGGCCUAUCAGUGUUAACUCCCAGGCUGUAAAAAUUGAAUUGAUGAUUGCAUACUCUCGUGUGGAUUUUUUAUGUGCAUGCACGACAACCAUUCAUUUGUGCCUUUCAUCAUCAGAUCAAACGGCAAGUUUAUUGUCUGAUUAAUUAGAGGUUUCUAUUUUAGAAUGAAUUUUUCUGAAUUUUUGCUAUCCCGCUGGUCCUUACUAAUUCAGUAUAUACUAGAAUUUGAAGUUGUGAUCAUCCAUUGUUCUACUAUGGAGACUAGGAUAAAUGAUUGCAGUUGCAGGGCCGCCGCCGUUGCUGAACACAAACGGGGCUCGAAGCAGGCCAAUCUCCGAGGUGGACCGGGCAACGGAUCGUGGAGAGGCGCCCAAGGAUUUUUUUUUGCUUCUGUUGAUUGUGCCAUCCAAUUGGUUUAGACUUUUCACCAUUGCUAAUUACUAGGGGCGUAUGGGUGCCGGACCUGGCAAGUGGCCUGCACGCUACGCUCUUGCCAAAUAAUUUGCAACCAUGCUUGCACUGAAUUUUUAUUUAUUUCCCGAUGUACCUUACAACAACUUCAUGAUGUAGCACUACUUUGCACUAGCAUGCACCUGCAGAUAUAAUAUGGAAAAUGGCUGUCAUUUAGAAUUACUUCCAAGCUGCAUCGUCUAUCUGAAUGUCAGCCCGAAACCACUGGUUGGCACACAUAAAAUUUUGGAAGUUGUAUGUAGUCCUCCUUCUUUGAACCAAACUUUAUGUCUAUGAUUGAUGAAUCAAUAUACUUUUUUGUUCAAACUGGAUCCAAUAGAACAUGGCUUUGGUGGUAGUUCCCCGUACAUGUAGAAUUUCUAUCCUUCUAUAUGUGUACUGAAACAAUUUAAGGUCACUAUGUAGUAAAUUCAUCAUACUAUAUGUCCACCGAAACCACUUAAGGUCAAAAGUGACAAGUAGAACCACAUGCAUCGUUUUGGGUAGUCUAACUUGACUCUAUUACUUUUAUCUCAUAAAUCUAUGAUCGGUGCGUUUUUUACGUGGAAUAUAUUCCGGAGCGGUUGCUGGUGUUAGGGAUGCAUUUAUAUAUGGGAUAAUUGCAUUAGCUAUUUCAUACGAUUGGCAUGCAAGGAUUUUUCUUCUUUAGUAUAACUCUCUGUAUUUUUAUUGUUUCUUUUAUUGUUUCCAGAAUGCAUUUCCACAAUAGAGAUGGGAAAUGGGUACAUCGUUGUCGUCCUUCAGUGAGCAGCCGAGGAGGAGCUCCUCCAUGCUGAUGAUGUGGAAGACAGAUACCCUGUCCGCGACGCCUGGUUCUGGCCUCAUAUACAUGAGUCUGGAAGUGAUACUUUUGUGAGGAGUGCUGGAACAUGACUGGAUCAAGCGAGACAAAGAACAAUGGAUGAAAGAAAGAGAUCAGAAAAGGGAUUCACUCCUGACCACCUCAUACAUAUAUACAUGUUGAAAAUAUUGUUGAUUUUGAUUUAAAAAUGGCUAAAUUGGAGGAAAGCAUUUCUGCUACAUUCAUCGGCAAUACUACACCAUAUACUAUAGAAGCUUGGGCCACUAAAUCAGCUGUUUCUAAUGGAUCUUCUUGGACUCAACAGUAUCAAUCUACUUCCCAGGCAUGUGGUUUAUUUUAUUCUUCAGCUCAAUGGAAAACCAUGGCAAGUUCUGUUUUACCUUUAGGGUGUUGACAAAAUGAUUUCAAUGAGACCAAUUAAGUGAAUAGCCUAUGGAAAAAUGAUGACCUGUUGUUAAAAUGAAAUAAAAACAGAUAAACAAAAAAAUGAUGAUCUAUUGUUGAUUGUCUUCAACAGAAACAAACCUGUUCAUAGUUUUCUUGUGUUUUUUCUUCGAUGUGACUCUUUGCCUGACAUGUUGAUGUUACUAUGUAUCCAUAUUGGAUUUCACAUAAGGAAUGUCCAUCCCUGAAGCACAACCUCGUGUACAUGGUUAAGUGGACCAGACUAAGUCCGGAAGAAGAUUGAAAAUUUCAAACGAGCGCCAAGUGAUUGAGUCAUUCAUCGCUAUGGACGUGAAUAGCUGACAAGGGCCACCUUGAUCAGAAUCGCUCGAUAAACCAGUCCUUCCAGAAAGACAAGCAAAUCCUACCAGCAAAAUCAUAUUACAAAUAGACAGGACACAAGGCAUCCCAGACCACACAAGCAAGUAAAUGAUCGAUAUAGAGGUUUGAAUGAUUGAGCCAUACAAUAUGGGAAUACAUGCUACAUGCUAAACAAGUUAGACGGUUCAAAGUAAUGAUGGUCAAUAAAGACGAAAAAAUCAUGGCACGCAACAGACGAGUGACCGAGUAUAAUGAACUUUUUAUAGUCAUGGAUUAGUCAUGUGUUAAACAAGUUCUGUUCAUGGAUUAGUUAUUAUCAAGCCUGCUGUUCUUUCUAUAGUCAUGUGCUAUUUUUUCAAUUGAACACAUUGAAGUUUCUAUAGAUUUUCAUGGUUUAUGCAAAAUAGCUGAGCCUGGUUGUUUUAUUCAUACAUAUUCAGGAUUGUUAGAGUCUAGAAUUCGUCGGUUUAUGUCGUGGAGAGAGCAGUAGUGUUGUUCAUCUUCUGGUUUUGAUAUAAUUACUAACAUUUAUUCAUUUUAAAGAUUAGUGGAUUAGUGCAUGCUAACAAACCCUGUACUGUCAAAGCAUUGUUCCAAUGUCUCUUAAAAUAUAUU
Aegilops tauschii subsp. strangulata is the source of this 4811-nucleotide non-coding RNA. The record is from RefSeq and is a predicted model, not a curated record. Lineage: Eukaryota; Viridiplantae; Streptophyta; Magnoliopsida; Poales; Poaceae.